GGCUUUGAAGUGUGGACGCCAGUCUGCAUGGAGCCGACCUUGAAAUACCACCCUUUAAUGUUUGAUGUUCUAACGUUGACCCGUGAUCCGGGUUGCGGACAGUGUCUGGUGGGUAGUUUGACUGGGGCGGUCUCCUCCUAAAGAGUAACGGAGGAGCACGAAGGUUGGCUAAUCCUGGUCGGACAUCAGGAGGUUAGUGCAAUGGCAUAAGCCAGCUUGACUGCGAGCGUGACGGCGCGAGCAGGUGCGAAAGCAGGUCAUAGUGAUCCGGUGGUUCUGAAUGGAAGGGCCAUCGCUCAACGGAUAAAAGGUACUCCGGGGAUAACAGGCUGAUACCGCCCAAGAGUUCAUAUCGACGGCGGUGUUUGGCACCUCGAUGUCGGCUCAUCACAUCCUGGGGCUGAAGUAGGUCCCAAGGGUAUGGCUGUUCGCCAUUUAAAGUGGUACGCGAGCUGGGUUUAGAACGUCGUGAGACAGUUCGGUCCCUAUCUGCCGUGGGCGCUGGAGAACUGAGGGGGGCUGCUCCUAGUACGAGAGGACCGGAGUGGACGCAUCACUGGUGUUCGGGUUGUCAUGCCAAUGGCACUGCCCGGUAGCUAAAUGCGGAAGAGAUAAGUGCUGAAAGCAUCUAAGCACGAAACUUGCCCCGAGAUGAGUUCUCCCUGACUCCUUGAGAGUCCUGAAGGAACGUUGAAGACGACGACGUUGAUAGGCCGGGUGUGUAAGCGCAGCGAUGCGUUGAGCUAACCGGUACUAAUGAACCGUGAGGCUUAACCUUACAACGCCGAAGGUGUUU
This 796-nucleotide ribosomal RNA is filed under the name Escherichia coli. RNAcentral describes it as "partial 23S ribosomal RNA". It matches the Rfam family "Bacterial large subunit ribosomal RNA", at positions 2153 to 2925 of the family's 2925-position model. Lineage: Bacteria; Pseudomonadati; Pseudomonadota; Gammaproteobacteria; Enterobacterales; Enterobacteriaceae. The record is from RNAcentral.